Molecule: long non-coding RNA, 3820 nt
Organism: Brachypodium distachyon (stiff brome)
Lineage: Eukaryota; Viridiplantae; Streptophyta; Magnoliopsida; Poales; Poaceae
Exons: 2
Source: RefSeq, a predicted model, not a curated record
AGUAACAUGUUUUUCUUUUGUGGUCCGUUGAUUUUACUUUCCCUGCGGCGAGCCAGGCACUUGGAUGAAGAAGCGUCGUUAAUUGCUGUAUAAGUUUAACAUUAUUUAGGAAUACUUGAAGGAGUGAGUAGUAUAUGCAUCUCCGUUUGUUUGCCUGGUUUGAUUUUGUGUAUUCUCUUAUUUCUGAAGAGGGAGAGAGGUACUAACUGACGCUCCCUUUUGUCCCGCAAUUCGAAAUGUCAAGUGGUACGGUGUUUAGGGUGGUUUCAUCGUUUUCGUAAUUGGCUUACUGGGGCCAAGCCUUGACGAUCUUUUAAGUUCUGUAACAGGAAGCUGUCUCUGAACAUUGUUUUGCUAGUUCGUGGUAAAAAAACAAAAAAAACUGUAUGAUGUACAAUGAAGAUCAAACUCGGUAUGCAUUUUCUUGGGCAAAAUUCACAGAGUUUUUGCUCCAUGGCAUCAUUACUUUGGGUCAACCUUAUCUUUACUGCUCUUGUUCCACUUUUGGGUAAUUUUAACAUACUUUAUUUAUUGGACCGUGGGAGUAAUGUUUGUCGAGAAGGAUAGCAACUUAGCAAGGAUAUGCUUUUUUUACUUUCAGAACUGAAGAUCUGGCUUUCAAGGCAAAAGAAGCCUCUAGACGGAUGUCAAUCUCGCUUCUUAUGUCCUAUUUUUUAAGUAAUUUCUUGUCUGUAUGAUUCUGGAUGGUCUGAUGUGGAUUUUCUUACGGAUUAGAUGUAUUUGUGAUGCUUUAUGUGUACAGGUAAUUACAUGUUCGGGAAACACAAAGUUAGGACAUCAACUUAUAUAAUGGCGUGAACAGGAUUAUUUUUAUUUGAUUGCACAAAUUUAAUAGCACUAUCACGACAUUAUCAGUGUGCUGCAAUUGCAAUUUAAUUUUGGCGUUUUGUUCUGCAUUUCUGUUGCCACUAUAACACUGGACACACCUCCACAUUUCUGUUGCUCUUUUUCCAUUUUUGUGUAAUUUUCCUUAGAUUAGUGCCAUGUGAUGUGAUUUACCUUUUUUUCUGUGUUUUUUCUAUUCUUUAUUCUUACACUUAAUGCAGCAGUUUACCAUUUCCAUGGGAGAUAUGUAGAUACUGAUGGAUGUUGUUCUAAUGUCUUACAUGGAACACCUUCUAUGCCUAUUACAUUUCCAUGCUACAAAUUGCCAUCAUAGGCCCAACCCUUUGCAUAAUCACAUAGGUGCAGUUUUUAGUUUUGUCAAGUUGCAUUCUCUGCUUAGUCCUUAAAAGUUGUUUUUUCCCUCUGAUUUUUGCAGUUCUAACAUGAAACUUGCACCCACAGUUGUACAACCUUAACAAUGCAAAUGUUAAUAGCAAAUUCUGUUCAGUUUCCCGCCUUCCUGAUUUGCCCUUCCAAUAUGCUAAUUUGUAUUCACAGUUGUAAACUUUUGCCCUUCUUGCUCUUUAUCUGAUGUAAAACUUGAAUUGAUAUUUUCGCAGAAAAUAUUUCAGUUUAAAGGCAAUAUGUUGGUUCGGAUGGAUGAACAAGCUGCUCUUCAUCGUGUUGUGAUGGAUGAGCAGUUCCUCUUCAUUGCUCUCUUAGUAAUUAAUGAACGAAAGCUGGCUGCAAAGUAGCGUUAAAUCUCUUAGUUAUUCACCAAUCAACCACCUACUCCAUGCAACUGUUAUGCUCAGAUGACAAUUGGAUUUUUUUUUUAAUAUCAAACCUACUGCUAUUCUAUCUAAUUUGUUAAGUUCUACAUACUAUCCAUGUUCGAAAUUGUGUUGAUAAAAUCAGAUAGCUCAUCCUUGACAGUGCUUUGCCAAUGUCAACAGUAUUACCAUACUAUUAUUUUAGAUCUUAAGUAGCAUAAUUUGAUCACCUUCCAAAGAAUGGACAGGUAAAAUAUUUUAGGAUAUCUUAACCUGACGAGCUGCUUAGAAAUUGAAAUAAACAAAACUUACUUUCACCUUUAUAUAUUUGCAGUACUUUUCUUUUACAAUGUUGAUGCUCUUAUUAUUUAUUCCUCUGAUUGCCUUAAUGAUUUAGUAAUCUAACAGUUAUGGGCCAUUAAAAGAUGCUUAAGGAUUGCUUUGAAGGUUCUACAGAUUUUCUCGCAGAAAUCAAACAAGUUAUAUAAUUGAAAUCCCCGCUCUUUAUGCCAUAGGUUUGCCCUCAUUCCAGAAAUAUUAAUGUUUUGUUAUGUAUAGUGAAUUGAUUCUGUUUAACGAAUGAUGGCUUUUUUUUCUCUUUUGGUGUGCAGUUUCUAUCAUUGUAUUCAAUUUGCUAAACAAUGCUCAUGCUGACAGGUUAUAGCUUUGACUGAUGGUAACUUGAAAUGCUGAUGUGCUGCAGGCUUGCCCACAAUGUUGUAAUGUCCUCCAAUUCAUGUGGCCUAUUUCAUCUAAUUUGCUAAUUCGCUCAUUAUAUGCUCCUAGGUAAUGCUGUUCUGGCAAAUUCUUGAUUGUGCCGCACAUUUUGUCCAAUCAAACAGCUAGGGAAAUAUUAUACAAAAAUUAUGCUUGCACAUACUCAUGUUAUUUGGGUUGAAGUUAACAUGUUAUUUGGGUAAAGUUGUAGACUAGAUUUAAUUGAUACUCUUUGAUCAUACAGCAGUGAUUUUGACAGAUGUUUCUACUAGGGUCUGAGAAAGAACGUGGUUGUCUUGUUACUUACUUGGUCGAAUUCUUGGUGCUGAUUGAUGAAGCUAUGCACUGCAUCAGGAAUUCAGGGCAGUUCACAUCUACUACUUUAGCCUAGAUAUCCUUGUCAAAAAUACUGUGAAUAGUCAAUGCCUUUCCAUUCUACAAUGUUCUAGACAGAGAAAGAAAAAUAGUAGAAUCAUUUCAUGAUUGUGAAGACCGAGUUAUUUUUAACUGGAAGCAAGGAAAAAUGUCAAAAGCAUCCUCGACUAAUUGCUUAUCUUCUUCCCAGAUGUGUUUCUGCAUUCAGGAUGGAUAUCCACGUCACAAGGCAGAUGUGAGGAAAUUAUCCAAAACCACCACUUUCGGGGUCAUGUUUAGCCAGAACCACCACCUUGAAAAUCUAUUACCAUCAACUCUCGGGCAGAUUGUUGCACAAAACCCAUGUAGUCGUAUCACUGGCCGUAACCCCGAUUCUCACGUACCAGGCCCACCUGUCAGGAUAUGUCUGUUGCUAUGACCGUUAGGCCCAUGUCAUCUGACAUGGCGGAGACACAACUCAAAACCACCACUUUUGGGGGACAAUUUACUUGAAACCACCAUUUUGAUAAUUAUUUUGCACAUAACUACCAUGUUAUCAGGCAAGCUUAGCUUCUGUAUAUAACCCAAAUAUCCAGUUUAAAUGCAUCGACAUGAAAUCUGACAGCAUAGGCCCACCUGUGCCGCAUCGAGCAAGAUUCAAUGACGGACAAGCCGGCUGCCUGGGUUCACUAGUGGUUCUUCCGGCUAACAAUAACCCCAAAAUUUGCAUUCUGAGAUAACACAUAAUUUGCACAUGUUAUUUGUUUUUUGACAUGGUGGUAUAGGUGAAGGAGAAGAGACCGGAGGUAGCUAUUGAGAAUGGAGGGAAGAAAGUGGUACUGUUACAUUUGUGGAAAUCGUAGUUUUGAUCGAGUGACUGAAUUGCAAGCGUUAGAUGGACAAAAUAACAUGAUCACGAGGUUUAGUUGAUGGUAAUUGUACUAAGUUUGAGCAUCUGAUGUUGUGUGUCAAGAUGUUGGGAAUGUUAGUGUUGCCCAUCGCAAAAGAUCAACUGUUUUAAUCCGUUCAUUACGUCUAUCUUCAGUGAUCUGUAAUAAAGUGAAGAUCAUUUUUUUUUAUUAAAACCUGAAACUAAUAACUAAGGCGGGAUCGAGCUAUUCAAUUUUUCA